Molecule: long non-coding RNA, 574 nt
Organism: Thamnophis sirtalis
Lineage: Eukaryota; Metazoa; Chordata; Lepidosauria; Squamata; Natricidae
Source: RefSeq, a predicted model, not a curated record
AAUACUGGAGUGUUGCAUUAUGUGCAUGUCCCAAGUGAUUACAAAAGUGAAUUACAAAUUGGACCAUGAGCUGAAGGUGGGGAACAUUGUCAUCAAUCUUUUAUCAUGAUCAGGUAAAUUGAGAUGGAGACCUGGAAUGGAUUGAGAAACUGCCUGUCGAUAGCGGAUAAGCCAUACGAAUUGGUCCUAAUCUUCUUUAGAUGUCUUUGUCACCAUCUGAAACAUUUGAAAGUCUUUGUCACCAUCUGAAGCAUUUGAAAGAAGAAGAAAAAAGGCACCAUUCCUAAGGAUAGAGUCGGGGUGACGGAAUGGAGCUCAGCAUUUACUGGCCGGAUGCCCUUCCUGAUGCUUACACAUGGUUCACAGUAGAUAUUUUCAUUUUGUGCCCCAAUAGACAAAUUUCUGUCACUGCCUAGGAUUGAAAUCUCAGCCUUCUGAGUGGGAGAUGAGCAUCUUCAAAACUAGGCCAUUGUGCCACUAAUCUUUGCAUUUCACGUAACUCCAGGAGUGGGAUCCUACCGGUUUAACAACUGGUUCACUCAUGCCCGUGGCAAACGCGUGCUCUGCGCAUGCG